Long non-coding RNA from Carassius auratus (goldfish), 327 nucleotides. RefSeq lists it as uncharacterized. The record is from RefSeq and is a predicted model, not a curated record. The transcript is spliced from 4 exons. Lineage: Eukaryota; Metazoa; Chordata; Actinopteri; Cypriniformes; Cyprinidae.
UUCCUCCUAACCCUGGCUUUUAUCCUGAGUAUGUGCCUCAAAACCCUGUCUAUCCUGCUGACUUUGGACCUGGACAUCCCCCUGCUCAGCCGCCCCCGUGGAACGCUCCUCCGCCCCAGUAUAACCCUUCUGCACCUAUGAACUAUACACCAGCAAUGAACAGUGCUCCUCCUGGACCCGAACCCACAGGGAUGAAUAUGAAUUUAUUGCCACCAACUGCACCUCUGCUCACACCUCAGCCUGAGUUGCAGCCGUCUGUCAUGAGCAGCAUUCCCACGGAUAUCCUUAACUCCAGUGACUCUGGUGUCCAGUUUGACAUUAACAAAG